AGCGUACACGGUGGAUGCCCUGGCAGUCAGAGGCGAUGAAGGACGUGCUAAUCUGCGAUAAGCGUCGGUAAGGUGAUAUGAACCGUUAUAACCGGCGAUUUCCGAAUGGGGAAACCCAGUGUGAUUCGUCACACUAUCAUUAACUGAAUCCAUAGGUUAAUGAGGCGAACCGGGGGAACUGAAACAUCUAAGUACCCCGAGGAAAAGAAAUCAACCGAGAUUCCCCCAGUAGCGGCGAGCGAACGGGGAGCAGCCCAGAGCCUGAAUCAGUGUGUGUGUUAGUGGAAGCGUCUGGAAAGGCGCGCGAUACAGGGUGACAGCCCCGUACACAAAAAUGCACAUGCUGUGAGCUCGAUGAGUAGGGCGGGACACGUGGUAUCCUGUCUGAAUAUGGGGGGACCAUCCUCCAAGGCUAAAUACUCCUGACUGACCGAUAGUGAACCAGUACCGUGAGGGAAAGGCGAAAAGAACCCCGGCGAGGGGAGUGAAAAAGAACCUGAAACCGUGUACGUACAAGCAGUGGGAGCCUCUUAAUGGGGUGACUGCGUACCUUUUGUAUAAUGGGUCAGCGACUUAUAUUCUGUAGCAAGGUUAACCGAAUAGGGGAGCCGAAGGGAAACCGAGUCUUAACUGGGCGUUAAGUUGCAGGGUAUAGACCCGAAACCCGGUGAUCUAGCCAUGGGCAGGUUGAAGGUUGGGUAACACUAACUGGAGGACCGAACCGACUAAUGUUGAAAAAUUAGCGGAUGACUUGUGGCUGGGGGUGAAAGGCCAAUCAAACCGGGAGAUAGCUGGUUCUCCCCGAAAGCUAUUUAGGUAGCGCCUCGUGAAUUCAUCUCCGGGGGUAGAGCACUGUUUCGGCAAGGGGGUCAUCCCGACUUACCAACCCGAUGCAAACUGCGAAUACCGGAGAAUGUUAUCACGGGAGACACACGGCGGGUGCUAACGUCCGUCGUGAAGAGGGAAACAACCCAGACCGCCAGCUAAGGUCCCAAAGUCAUGGUUAAGUGGGAAACGAUGUGGGAAGGCCCAGACAGCCAGGAUGUUGGCUUAGAAGCAGCCAUCAUUUAAAGAAAGCGUAAUAGCUCACUGGUCGAGUCGGCCUGCGCGGAAGAUGUAACGGGGCUAAACCAUGCACCGAAGCUGCGGCAGCGACGCUUAUGCGUUGUUGGGUAGGGGAGCGUUCUGUAAGCCUGCGAAGGUGUGCUGUGAGGCAUGCUGGAGGUAUCAGAAGUGCGAAUGCUGACAUAAGUAACGAUAAAGCGGGUGAAAAGCCCGCUCGCCGGAAGACCAAGGGUUCCUGUCCAACGUUAAUCGGGGCAGGGUGAGUCGACCCCUAAGGCGAGGCCGAAAGGCGUAGUCGAUGGGAAACAGGUUAAUAUUCCUGUACUUGGUGUUACUGCGAAGGGGGGACGGAGAAGGCUAUGUUGGCCGGGCGACGGUUGUCCCGGUUUAAGCGUGUAGGCUGGUUUUCCAGGCAAAUCCGGAAAAUCAAGGCUGAGGCGUGAUGACGAGGCACUACGGUGCUGAAGCAACAAAUGCCCUGCUUCCAGGAAAAGCCUCUAAGCAUCAGGUAACAUCAAAUCGUACCCCAAACCGACACAGGUGGUCAGGUAGAGAAUACCAAGGCGCUUGAGAGAACUCGGGUGAAGGAACUAGGCAAAAUGGUGCCGUAACUUCGGGAGAAGGCACGCUGAUACGUAGGUGAAGUCCCUUGCGGAUGGAGCUGAAAUCAGUCGAAGAUACCAGCUGGCUGCAACUGUUUAUUAAAAACACAGCACUGUGCAAACACGAAAGUGGACGUAUACGGUGUGACGCCUGCCCGGUGCCGGAAGGUUAAUUGAUGGGGUUAGCGGUAACGCGAAGCUCUUGAUCGAAGCCCCGGUAAACGGCGGCCGUAACUAUAACGGUCCUAAGGUAGCGAAAUUCCUUGUCGGGUAAGUUCCGACCUGCACGAAUGGCGUAAUGAUGGCCAGGCUGUCUCCACCCGAGACUCAGUGAAAUUGAACUCGCUGUGAAGAUGCAGUGUACCCGCGGCAAGACGGAAAGACCCCGUGAACCUUUACUAUAGCUUGACACUGAACAUUGAGCCUUGAUGUGUAGGAUAGGUGGGAGGCUUUGAAGUGUGGACGCCAGUCUGCAUGGAGCCGACCUUGAAAUACCACCCUUUAAUGUUUGAUGUUCUAACGUUGGCCCCUAAUCGGGGUUGCGGACAGUGUCUGGUGGGUAGUUUGACUGGGGCGGUCUCCUCCUAAAGAGUAACGGAGGAGCACGAAGGUUGGCUAAUCCUGGUCGGACAUCAGGAGGUUAGUGCAAUGGCAUAAGCCAGCUUGACUGCGAGCGUGACGGCGCGAGCAGGUGCGAAAGCAGGUCAUAGUGAUCCGGUGGUUCUGAAUGGAAGGGCCAUCGCUCAACGGAUAAAAGGUACUCCGGGGAUAACAGGCUGAUACCGCCCAAGAGUUCAUAUCGACGGCGGUGUUUGGCACCUCGAUGUCGGCUCAUCACAUCCUGGGGCUGAAGUAGGUCCCAAGGGUAUGGCUGUUCGCCAUUUAAAGUGGUACGCGAGCUGGGUUUAGAACGUCGUGAGACAGUUCGGUCCCUAUCUGCCGUGGGCGCUGGAGAACUGAGGGGGGCUGCUCCUAGUACGAGAGGACCGGAGUGGACGCAUCACUGGUGUUCGGGUUGUCAUGCCAAUGGCACUGCCCGGUAGCUAAAUGCGGAAGAGAUAAGUGCUGAAAGCAUCUAAGCACGAAACUUGCCCCGAGAUGAGUUCUCCCUGACUCCUUGA
RNAcentral lists this ribosomal RNA (2788 nucleotides) under Escherichia coli. RNAcentral's name for it is "bacterial LSU rRNA". It matches the Rfam family "Bacterial large subunit ribosomal RNA". Lineage: Bacteria; Pseudomonadati; Pseudomonadota; Gammaproteobacteria; Enterobacterales; Enterobacteriaceae. The record is from RNAcentral.